GUGCCAGCAGCCGCGGUAAUACGGAGGGUCCAAGCGUUAUCCGGAUUUAUUGGGUUUAAAGGGUCCGCAGGCGGAAAAAUAAGUCAGUGGUGAAAGCCUGCAGCUUAACUGUAGAACUGCCAUUGAUACUGUUUUUCUUGAGUAUAGAUGAAGUGGGCGGAAUGUGUCAUGUAGCGGUGAAAUGCAUAGAUAUGACACAGAACACCGAUUGCGAAGGCAGCUCACUAAACUAUUACUGACGCUCAUGGACGAAAGCGUGGGGAGCGAACAGGAUUAGAUACCCUGGUAGUCCACGCCGUAAACGAUGAUUACUCGGUGCUAGCGAUAUACCGUUAGUGCCUAAGCGAAAGCGAUAAGUAAUCCGACCUGGGGAGUACGGUCGCAAAGAUUGAAAACUCAAAGGAAUUGGCGG
Molecule: ribosomal RNA, 412 nt
Filed under: uncultured bacterium
Lineage: Bacteria
Description: bacterial SSU rRNA
Rfam family: Bacterial small subunit ribosomal RNA
Source: RNAcentral